Molecule: long non-coding RNA, 1732 nt
Organism: Peromyscus leucopus (white-footed mouse)
Lineage: Eukaryota; Metazoa; Chordata; Mammalia; Rodentia; Cricetidae
Exons: 6
Source: RefSeq, a predicted model, not a curated record
UCGGGAAGCAGAAGGGGGAAGAGCAGGAUUCAAAGUCGUUCUCAGCUACAUAUAAUAUGAGACCAGACAGGGCUACAUGAGACUGUCACAAACAACAAAUGAACAAAACUAAAAGCAAAACAACCCCGUAAAAAUCCAACAACUAAUAAAAAGUGAUUAUAUCAGCAGAAUGAAUGAUAACAUUACUAAUGUUUUGAGAUGCUCUCACUCUGUAGUCCCAGACAGGGUAGACGUUUGCCCUGGCUAGCAAACUUGUGGCAAUCUUCAUACCUCAGCCUCCCAAGUGAUGAGAUGACUCUUCAAGGGGAAAUGCUAGAAUCACAGAGGCGGUAGAUAAACGCCAUUGUCCCCUUGCCCGCUGCCAUUACUUUCCUCCUGACUUUGUUAGAUUCGGGUUUGGUCUCUGAUGACGCUAGCCACUACUCGCGUCGUAUGUGAGAGGCAACAGCGCCCUCUGGUGUCCAAAGGCCAGACCCACAAAGGGAGGGAUAAGAGAAGAGGCAGGGCAAAGUCACGUGACUCUACUCCAGGGUGCCAGACCAAGUGACGGGCUAGUCUGACAACACGUUACCUGUUCUGGAAAGCUGGGCGGUUAAGGAGCCUUGAGAGACGCUGUCGCAGAUUCGACUAGCAUCAGGGACUGUACUGGCCGGAGCCACCCUAGAUGGAUGAGAGCCGCUGGAGCAGGAAGGAGGACGGACCUCUGAUGGUAGCUGUGGAAGCCAGAGCCCCCACGUGCUAGAUUCGCUUGGCAGAGAAGGGCUAUGAACUGGAGAAGAGGGGGUGCCUGCCCACCCCGCCUCCAUUUAUCACACGGUAGCCGUUGAUGCUGGCAGCCUGCUGGAAACUGGACAGGAGACUGGUUCCCGUGGUCCCAGGCCAUCAGUGUCAACUCUGAAAAUGACCGGAAGUGUCAUUGUAGUACAAGACUUCGCACUCUGCACCUCUAUAUCUACCUUCUCAUGAGCAAAAGCAGUGCAUUUAAGGAUUCGGUGGGAGCAACAGCGGAAAGUCCAGCAUGGGGCAGGUACCUGCACAAGGAAUUUGGCUGACGUUCAAGUGGAAUUAAGAGGCAGCUGGACUCCAGGUAAUCGAGCAGCACAUAUAUCCCAAGUCAAGAAUGGGUGCACAUCAGUGUUUCCUGCAGCCCCAGCACCCAAAAGAUGAUGGGCCAGGUGUUGGGGUACACGCCUAUAGUCUCAGCCCUUGACAGACUGAGGCGGAGGGAUCAGCAGUUUGAGCCGACAGGCGAACAAACAACCUGCCAUGGAGGCCGUGGGAUGGCUCGGGAGGGAAAGGAGCUGCAGCCAAACCAGAACCACAUCGCAGAAGGAGAGAGCAGACUUCUACAAGUCCUCCGACCUCCACACCUGCACAUGUAUACGCAAGUAAAAUAAAGGCUGGACUUGAACUUCUGAUGCUCCUGCCUCCACCUCCUAACUGCUGGGAUUAUAGGUGUGUACCACCAUGGCAAGACUAUGCUGAUGCUGCAGGGAAUCAAACCCAGGGCCUCGGGCAUGCUCGGCAAGUACUCUACAACGGAGCCACAUCCCCACCCUCCAUUGUGGAUUUUGACAACUGCCACAACAGUCCUAGAUCAGGCCUGGUGGCGCUCAUCUGCCAUCCUCUCAAUCAGGCUUCUGUCAAACUGCAGGGCUCAAGCGAUCCUGUCACCUCACCCUCUAAAGUAGCUAGAGCUGUUAGAGCACGACCCUGGCCCGUCAUGUCUUAA